CUACGGGGCGCAGCAGUGGGGAAUAUUGGACAAUGGGGGAAACCCUGAUCCAGCAAUGCCGCGUGUGUGAAGAAGGCCUGCGGGUUGUAAAGCACUUUCGGUUGGGAGGACUGCUUCUAGCACUAAUAUUGUUGGAAGUUGACGUUACCUUCAGAAGAAGCACCGGCUAACUCCGUGCCAGAAGCGGUAAUACGGAGGGUGCAAGCGUUAAUCGGAAUUACUGGGCGUAAAGCGCGCGUAGGCGGCUAGAUCAGUCGGGUGUGAAAGCCCCGGGCUUAACCUGGGAACUGCAUCCGAUACUGUCUAGCUAGAGUACAGGAGAGGAGAGUGGAAUUCCACAUGUAGCGGUGAAAUGCGUAGAUAUGUGGAGGAACACCAAUGGCGAAGGCAGCUCUCUGGCCUGAUACUGACGCUGAGGUGCGAAAGCGUGGGGAGCAAACAGGAUUAGAUACCCGCGUAGUC
This 462-nucleotide ribosomal RNA is filed under the name uncultured bacterium. RNAcentral's name for it is "partial 16S ribosomal RNA". It matches the Rfam family "Bacterial small subunit ribosomal RNA", at positions 339 to 795 of the family's 1533-position model. The record is from RNAcentral.